Long non-coding RNA from Metopolophium dirhodum (rose-grain aphid), 1204 nucleotides. RefSeq lists it as uncharacterized. NCBI's taxonomy places the organism in Eukaryota, Metazoa, Arthropoda, Insecta, Hemiptera, Aphididae. The transcript is spliced from 2 exons. The record is from RefSeq and is a predicted model, not a curated record.
UGCGCUCGCUAUCUCCACGCGCACCGCCAAAGGUAGGUACACGCCACGCGUUUUCAUAAUAUAUAUAUUAUAUAUAUAAUUAUAAUAUGAUGAUUAUACUACAUAUAGGGUAGGUACUUGGUUAAAGGUAAGGUCGGCCGCAAGGAAGACUUAUGAAUUAAUAGGAAUCUUCAAAUCAGUCUAACAACACGAGGCGGUUAGACAAGAUAUCGCGGACGUCAAACUAAAAUACACGAAACGUGCGCAUUUUCAUCCAAGCCCAGAAAACCUAUUGUGCCUACGCCGAACGUUUUGGAAAAAUUACGAAAGCGGCACACUUCAGAACAUUGCCUCAAGGCUUAAAUACUUCUUUCAGAAAAUAUUUUGUUUUUGAUGUAAAUAUAUAGGUAUAGUAGGUAGAGUUCCAACGCACACGUCGACCGGUAUAAUUUACAACGAACCAAAAAAAUCAAAUUGUUCGCUGGUACCUACUAUUUUAUAUAGAUAUGGAAAUACCUAUACCUGUUCUGUUCGAUCUAUAUUCUGCUGUCCUGAAUCAAAACAGGAUAACUAUCCAGUCAAUACGAUUGUUGAGAAACAGCAAAUAAUGUUUUGAACAGUAAAUCAAGCCUUAAAGAAGUGCUUAUACAAAAGAUUGAUCAAUACUUGUGCUGAUAUUUCUAACUGUAUAUCUAAAGUUGGUCGAACACUUAGAAUUUCAACUUUUUUGAGUUUUUAAGGAAAAAAUGAACUUACCCUAAAGUAAUUAAGCUCCGUCAGCCUGGCACUCCAAAAGUGAAAUUUCGUAAUUUUUUUUUUUAGAUAAUUAAUAACCAAUUUGUAACCCAAGAUUUGGAAUUUGUAACACAAAAUGUCACCCUUAAAUUAACGUUCCGAUGUUAGGGGUGCUGAGCUGACGUCAGCCCAACGCCCAAAAAUGAAAUUUCGUAAUUUUUUUUUUAAGAUAAUUAGUAACCAAUUUGUAAUAAUGGACUUACCGGAUUAUCGCUUAGUCUUUUUUGGACAUAACUAGUUUUAACCUAAAUCGUUACUAUGUCACGUCAAUACCAUUUUUCUCCAACGUAGAUAAUAUGAACCAUUAUAUAAGCCAAAAUCCAGUAACUCCAUUAUUUUUCAUGUGAUAUACCGAGUUUUUGUUUAAUAUUUAUAGAUUUACCGUGUUUUUGCUUACGAAACAUCUAAUAUAUUGGACUUAGGUACUGUA